Molecule: ribosomal RNA, 1810 nt
Filed under: Escherichia coli
Lineage: Bacteria; Pseudomonadati; Pseudomonadota; Gammaproteobacteria; Enterobacterales; Enterobacteriaceae
Description: partial 23S ribosomal RNA
Rfam family: Bacterial large subunit ribosomal RNA
Source: RNAcentral
UAGCUCACUGGUCGAGUCGGCCUGCGCGGAAGAUGUAACGGGGCUAAACCAUGCACCGAAGCUGCGGCAGCGACGCUUAUGCGUUGUUGGGUAGGGGAGCGUUCUGUAAGCCUGUGAAGGUGUACUGUGAGGUAUGCUGGAGGUAUCAGAAGUGCGAAUGCUGACAUAAGUAACGAUAAAGCGGGUGAAAAGCCCGCUCGCCGGAAGACCAAGGGUUCCUGUCCAACGUUAAUCGGGGCAGGGUGAGUCGACCCCUAAGGCGAGGCCGAAAGGCGUAGUCGAUGGGAAACAGGUUAAUAUUCCUGUACUUGGUGUUACUGCGAAGGGGGGACGGAGAAGGCUAUGUUGGCCGGGCGACGGUUGUCCCGGUUUAAGCGUGUAGGCUGGUUUUCCAGGCAAAUCCGGAAAAUCAAGGCUGAGGCGUGAUGACGAGGCACUACGGUGCUGAAGCAACAAAUGCCCUGCUUCCAGGAAAAGCCUCUAAGCAUCAGGUAACAUCAAAUCGUACCCCAAACCGACACAGGUGGUCAGGUAGAGAAUACCAAGGCGCUUGAGAGAACUCGGGUGAAGGAACUAGGCAAAAUGGUGCCGUAACUUCGGGAGAAGGCACGCUGAUAUGUAGGUGAAGCGACUUGCUCGUGGAGCUGAAAUCAGUCGAAGAUACCAGCUGGCUGCAACUGUUUAUUAAAAACACAGCACUGUGCAAACACGAAAGUGGACGUAUACGGUGUGACGCCUGCCCGGUGCCGGAAGGUUAAUUGAUGGGGUUAGCGGUAACGCGAAGCUCUUGAUCGAAGCCCCGGUAAACGGCGGCCGUAACUAUAACGGUCCUAAGGUAGCGAAAUUCCUUGUCGGGUAAGUUCCGACCUGCACGAAUGGCGUAAUGAUGGCCAGGCUGUCUCCACCCGAGACUCAGUGAAAUUGAACUCGCUGUGAAGAUGCAGUGUACCCGCGGCAAGACGGAAAGACCCCGUGAACCUUUACUAUAGCUUGACACUGAACAUUGAGCCUUGAUGUGUAGGAUAGGUGGGAGGCUUUGAAGUGUGGACGCCAGUCUGCAUGGAGCCGGCCUUGAAAUACCACCCUUUAAUGUUUGAUGUUCUAACGUUGGCCCCUGAUCGGGGUUGCGGACAGUGUCUGGUGGGUAGUUUGACUGGGGCGGUCUCCUCCUAAAGAGUAACGGAGGAGCACGAAGGUUGGCUAAUCCUGGUCGGACAUCAGGAGGUUAGUGCAAUGGCAUAAGCCAGCUUGACUGCGAGCGUGACGGCGCGAGCAGGUGCGAAAGCAGGUCAUAGUGAUCCGGUGGUUCUGAAUGGAAGGGCCAUCGCUCAACGGAUAAAAGGUACUCCGGGGAUAACAGGCUGAUACCGCCCAAGAGUUCAUAUCGACGGCGGUGUUUGGCACCUCGAUGUCGGCUCAUCACAUCCUGGGGCUGAAGUAGGUCCCAAGGGUAUGGCUGUUCGCCAUUUAAAGUGGUACGCGAGCUGGGUUUAGAACGUCGUGAGACAGUUCGGUCCCUAUCUGCCGUGGGCGCUGGAGAACUGAGGGGGGCUGCUCCUAGUACGAGAGGACCGGAGUGGACGCAUCACUGGUGUUCGGGUUGUCAUGCCAAUGGCACUGCCCGGUAGCUAAAUGCGGAAGAGAUAAGUGCUGAAAGCAUCUAAGCACGAAACUUGCCCCGAGAUGAGUUCUCCCUGAGACUUAGAGUCUCCUGAAGGAACGUUGAAGACGACGACGUUGAUAGGCCGGGUGUGUAAGCGCAGCGAUGCGUUGAGCUAACCGGUACUAAUGAACCGUGAGGCUUAACCUU